ACUGAUUCGAUGAAAAAGAGAGUACCUUAUAGAGUGUCAGCAAAGCGAUUUCGGGAAGGUGAAAGCCGAAAGUGACAAAUUAAGGGAAGCGCACUUUAGAGAAUCUGCACAAGCAGACGGACAUCUACCGUUAUUAGAUUAAGUGGGUCUAUCCUAAUGGAAUAGACAAUUAGAGUGGUACCGCGGGAAUAUCUCGUCUCUGGU
Molecule: non-coding RNA, 204 nt
Filed under: Enterococcus termitis
Lineage: Bacteria; Bacillati; Bacillota; Bacilli; Lactobacillales; Enterococcaceae
Description: T-box sequence
Rfam family: T-box leader
About the family: Uncharged tRNA acts as the effector for transcription antitermination of genes in the T-box leader family. T-boxes are found upstream of many aminoacyl-tRNA synthetase genes and some amino acid biosynthetic genes usually in Gram-positive bacteria.
Source: RNAcentral